AUCCCAUGAUGAGGACACUUAUGAAGUAAUUCCUUGAAUCUUUCUCAUGCCUCAUACAAAGAUUCAAUUGUUGGAAAGUUGUUAUUUCAUUACACAACUU
RNAcentral lists this small nucleolar RNA (100 nucleotides) under Gossypium arboreum. RNAcentral's name for it is "Plant small nucleolar RNA R71". It matches the Rfam family "Plant small nucleolar RNA R71". Rfam says of the family: R71 is a member of the C/D box family of snoRNAs containing the C (UGAUGA) and D (CUGA) box motifs. Multiple nearly identical copies of this snoRNA have been identified in Arabidopsis, and it is thought to function as a 2'-O-ribose methylation guide for 18S ribosomal RNA. The record is from Rfam by way of RNAcentral. Lineage: Eukaryota; Viridiplantae; Streptophyta; Magnoliopsida; Malvales; Malvaceae.